GACGAACGCUGGCGGCGCGCCUAACACAUGCAAGUCGAGCGAGAACCAGGGCUUCGGCCCUGGGGACAGCGGCGAACGGGUGAGUAACACGUGGGUAACCUGCCCUCGGCACCGGGAUAGCCCGGGGAAACUCGGAUUAAUACCGGACAGCCUCAUGAGCCCUCGGGCGAAUGAGAAAAGGUGGCUUCGGCUUCCGGCUGAGGAUGGGCCCGCGGCCGAUUAGCUUGUUGGUGGGGUAACGGCUCACCAAGGCUCCGAUCGGUAGCUGGUCUGAGAGGACGAUCAGCCACACUGGGACUGAGACACGGCCCAGACUCCUACGGGAGGCAGCAGUGGGGAAUCUUGCGCAAUGGGCGAAAGCCUGACGCAGCGACGCCGCGUGCGGGAAG
This 389-nucleotide ribosomal RNA is filed under the name uncultured bacterium. RNAcentral describes it as "bacterial SSU rRNA". It matches the Rfam family "Bacterial small subunit ribosomal RNA", at positions 28 to 410 of the family's 1533-position model. The record is from RNAcentral.